UUUUUUUUAUACAACCAAAAUAUAAUUUUCCGUUAUUUUAUUUUUUUUUUUUUCAACUUUUAACUUUUUAUUUUUUGUUUUAUAAUUAUGAUUAAUUAUGAUAGUAUACUAAUUAAUGAUAGUUAUGUAUCAGAAAUGACAAUAGAUGAUGUUAAAAAAUUAAAGCCUUAUUGGAAUAUGCAGAUAGCUAAUUAUAAAGAAGGUACGAAGGAGCCCGUUUAUACUUUAUUACAAAUGGCAAUUAUUAUGAACAGAAAAAAAAUAGUUGGGUAUUUACUAGCUAGAAGAGGCUUAGAUAUAAAUGCUCUCAGUAGAAAUAAUCAAACAGCUUUAAUGAUUGCUUGUGAAAAAAAAGUUCCAUUAGAUUGGAUUGAGGCAAUUUUAAAAAAAGGUGGAGAUUUAGGUAUAAAUAUGAAAGACGAUUACAAUGAGACUGCAUUAGAUAAAUGUAUCUUCAACUCAAAAGCCUAUCGUUUACUUUUAAAAUAUGGAGCUAUCGAAACAAACGCUAUGAGACUGCAAGAAACAGAGGUAAACUAAUUUUUUUUUAAUUAAGAAAUAAAUUCAUGAUAAAAAAAAAAAAAAAAAAAAAA
RNAcentral lists this long non-coding RNA (593 nucleotides) under Piliocolobus tephrosceles (Ugandan red Colobus). RNAcentral describes it as "lncRNA (ENSPTEG00000011934.1)". Lineage: Eukaryota; Metazoa; Chordata; Mammalia; Primates; Cercopithecidae. The record is from RNAcentral.